This 465-nucleotide ribosomal RNA is filed under the name Vreelandella stevensii. Its description in RNAcentral is "partial 16S ribosomal RNA". It matches the Rfam family "Bacterial small subunit ribosomal RNA", at positions 338 to 795 of the family's 1533-position model. Lineage: Bacteria; Pseudomonadati; Pseudomonadota; Gammaproteobacteria; Oceanospirillales; Halomonadaceae. The record is from RNAcentral.
CCUACGGGAGGCAGCAGUGGGGAAUAUUGGACAAUGGGCGAAAGCCUGAUCCAGCCAUGCCGCGUGUGUGAAGAAGGCCUUCGGGUUGUAUAGCACUUUCAGUGGGGAAGAAAGCCUUGGGGCUAAUACCCUCGAGGAAGGACAUCACCCACAGAAGAAGCACCGGCUAACUCCGUGCCAGCAGCCGCGGUAAUACGGAGGGUGCGAGCGUUAAUCGGAAUUACUGGGCGUAAAGCGCGCGUAGGCGGUCUGAUAAGCCGGUUGUGAAAGCCCCGGGCUCAACCUGGGAACGGCAUCCGGAACUGUCAGGCUAGAGUGCAGGAGAGGAAGGUAGAAUUCCCGGUGUAGCGGUGAAAUGCGUAGAGAUCGGGAGGAAUACCAGUGGCGAAGGCGGUCUUCUGGACUGACACUGACGCUGAGGUGCGAAAGCGUGGGUAGCAAACAGGAUUAGAUACCCUAGUAGUC